Molecule: ribosomal RNA, 252 nt
Filed under: uncultured bacterium
Lineage: Bacteria
Description: partial 16S ribosomal RNA
Rfam family: Bacterial small subunit ribosomal RNA
Source: RNAcentral
UACGUAGGUGGCAAGCGUUGUCCGGAAUUACUGGGUGUAAAGGGCGCGUAGGCGGGAGAAUAAGUUGGAUGUAAAAUCUAUCGGCUCAACCGAUAGCCGCGUUCAAAACUGUUUUUCUUGAGUGAAGUAGAGGCAGGCGGAAUUCCUAGUGUAGCGGUGAAAUGCGUAGAUAUUAGGAGGAACACCAGUGGCGAAGGCGGCCUGCUGGGCUUUUACUGACGCUGAGGCUCGAAAGCGUGGGUAGCAAACAGG